This 376-nucleotide unclassified non-coding RNA is filed under the name uncultured Actinomycetes bacterium. RNAcentral's name for it is "uncultured actinobacterium contains 16S-23S intergenic spacer region". The record is from RNAcentral. Lineage: Bacteria; Bacillati; Actinomycetota; Actinomycetes.
UCCGGUUUAUCACCGGCAGUCUCCUAUGAGUCCCCGGCAUAACCCGCUGGCAACAUAGAACGAGGGUUGCGCUCGUUGCGGGACUUAACCCAACAUCUCACGACACGAGCUGACGACAACCAUGCACCACCUGUACAGGACCCUUACGGACCCCCCAUCUCUGGAGGAUUUCCCUGUAUGUCAAGCCUUGGUAAGGUUCUUCGCGUUGCGUCGAAUUAAGCCGCAUGCUCCGCCGCUUGUGCGGGCCCCCGCCAAUUCCUUUGAGUUUUAGCCUUGCGGCCGUACUCCCCAGGCGGGGCACUUAAUGCGUUAGCUACGGCACCGCAGGGGUCGAUACCCGCGACACCUAGUGCCCAUCGUUUACGGCGUGGACUAC